Ictalurus punctatus (channel catfish) is the source of this 854-nucleotide long non-coding RNA. The record is from Ensembl. Lineage: Eukaryota; Metazoa; Chordata; Actinopteri; Siluriformes; Ictaluridae.
GCAAUUAACAUCAAGUACAUGCUGGGCGGGGCCUUUGAUUUGUUUCGAACAGGUUCUUGGGCUGGAGAUCCACCAUUCUCCUUGUUGCCAGUGGUACGGGGCACUGCCUUCAGAGCCAGAGUGGUGGGCCGUGCCGGGCUGAUGGCAGAAAGUGGAGAAGGGCUGGCAGAGGAGUCGGAUGAAGAUGUGAGGUGCUCUAAGACUGGAGUUGGAGGUGGGGGAAGGGGAAGGUCAAGGAUGUCGUGGGGUUCUAAAAGGGGAACAGGGUCUGGAGGAGGCACAUCUUGCAAGUCCAGGUCUGCACUGUUCCUGUCCAUAUGUUCUGUCCAGUCAUGUACUGGUUCUGCCUCUGGCUGGACAAAACCUGGGUCACUUGGAAGUGCUGGGAAUGAUGAUUUGCUACCUGUGAAAAGACAUAAACAGUGUAAAUAAAUGUAGUAAUAAUGGACGCAAACAUAGCUGAACUAGUGAUCAUUCAAGCUGAUGGUGAAUGAUUCGCCAUCAAGUUCCUGAACACAGUAGGUCCAAGUUAACAUUAUUCAUAGACCUACUAGACCUACUUUUCUUUCUUUCUUUUUUAGUUAUUACAAUUUGGAUUAAACCAAAUUCAAGUGUCCAGUCAAACAGGUCAAUUAUGGUAACUCAAUAACACAGUAAAUAGAUUUGACAAUAUUGGGUUGGGAUUUUCACCACUGUAACUAAAAACAAAUAAACAAAAAACAGGGACCUCUGGGCUAUAAUUCAAGGACUCCAGGAGGACCCCAGACUCCUCUUGGAGAACCGCCAUGAAAUAUUCAGUGCUUCAUUUUGAUUGAAAUGAAAAAAAAAAAAAAGGCUUCAGUCCCUAAAUAAAU